GACGAACGCUGGCGGCGUGCUUAACACAUGCAAGUCGAGCGGUAAGGCCCUUUCGGGGGUACGACGAGCGGCGAACGGGUGAGUAACACGUGGGUGACCUGCCCUUAGCUCUGGGAUAAGCCUGGGAAACUGGGUCUAAUACCGGAUAUGACUCCAUGACGCAUGUUGUGGGGUGGAAAGCCUUGUGCGGCUAGGGAUGGGCCCGCGGCCUAUCAGCUUGUUGGUGGGGUGAUGGCCUAUCAAGGCGACGACGGGUAGCCGGCCUGAGAGGGCGACCGGCCACACUGGGACUGAGACACGGCCCAGACUCCUACGGGAGGCAGCAGUGGGGAAUCUUGCGCAAUGGGCGAAAGCCUGACGCAGCGACGCCGCGUGGGGA
This 379-nucleotide ribosomal RNA is filed under the name uncultured bacterium. Its description in RNAcentral is "bacterial SSU rRNA". It matches the Rfam family "Bacterial small subunit ribosomal RNA", at positions 28 to 407 of the family's 1533-position model. The record is from RNAcentral.